AGGGUGUUAGUUUAAUUGGCAAAACGAGAGAUUCUGACUCUCUAAUCCAAGGUUCGACUCCUUGACGCCCUUCCA
RNAcentral lists this transfer RNA (75 nucleotides) under Saprospiraceae bacterium. RNAcentral describes it as "tRNA-Gln". It matches the Rfam family "tRNA". From Rfam's summary of the family: Transfer RNA (tRNA) molecules are approximately 80 nucleotides in length. Their secondary structure includes four short double-helical elements and three loops (D, anti-codon, and T loops). The record is from RNAcentral. Lineage: Bacteria; Pseudomonadati; Bacteroidota; Saprospiria; Saprospirales; Saprospiraceae.